Sinocyclocheilus anshuiensis is the source of this 384-nucleotide long non-coding RNA. RefSeq lists it as uncharacterized. The record is from RefSeq and is a predicted model, not a curated record. Lineage: Eukaryota; Metazoa; Chordata; Actinopteri; Cypriniformes; Cyprinidae. The transcript is spliced from 3 exons.
UUCAUUGGAAAAGUUUUGGAACCGUUGGCUUCAAUAGAUCUGUCAAAUAUUCUACUGAAAAAUGCAGACUGCUGGAUGUUGCGGUUUUGUUUUCAGAACUGUGUUAACAUUGGCAAACUGAGACUCAGUUUAACAUCUGACAAUGUGAAGAUUCUUCAGUCUGCACUGUACACUUGUGAAGAGUUGUGGUUGAAGGUGGAUCACAUUACAGAUGAUACUGGGGAUUUGAUCUCAGCUCUUGGUGAAGGAAAGAUUGUGAAAGAACUGAUAAUACAGGAUCAAAAAUCUUCAAAAGCUUCUCACAAAAAAAGGAUCAAAAGCUUCUGCCAAGAGAUUAUUGCAUCAGUUAAAGAUGAAGACGUCAUGUAAGAAACUCUAAUCAUA